UCACGAUUUGUAUCUCUCUUUAUUUGUCUUUAAUUAGUCUGUAUCGUAAUAGUAAAGUGACAAAUUCAUUAAAAAAAAGAAAAAAAAAAGAAAAAAAAGUCUCCCUUAUUCUCGCAACAUUGCCCUCGCACAUUAUCACACCAUAAAUGCACAUGACUUGUUCACCAUUUCUUAAAUAGAGAGAAUAAGUUGUUGUUUCUCAAAAUUUUAAUUUAAUUUAUCAGUUCUUAAUAAUUAGUUAAAUGUUUAUGAAUGUUGUCUAUAACGAGAGUUUAAAUUAACAAUUUAGCGGUACUGCAUGCAAGAAACUUUCAUUUUCGCUCACUGGCACUACGUGCACUAUAAAAUAACUAUAUGACAUUCUAGUACAGGUGGCAAUUUUGCCUAAACAUGCAUGGCAAUGUUGUGCG
Non-coding RNA from Paramuricea clavata, 410 nucleotides. The record is from the annotation of a GenBank genome assembly. NCBI's taxonomy places the organism in Eukaryota, Metazoa, Cnidaria, Anthozoa, Malacalcyonacea, Plexauridae.